AUUGAACGCUGGCGGCAGGCCUAACACAUGCAAGUCGAACGAGUGGCGGACGGGUGAGUAAUGUCUGGGAAACUGCCUGAUGGAGGGGGAUAACUACUGGAAACGGUAGCUCAUACCGCAUACCAUCAGAUGUGCCCAGAUGGGAUGAGCUUGUUGGUGGGGUAACGGCUCACCAAGGCGACGAUCCCUAGCUGGUCUGAGAGGAUGAACCGCGACGAGGGAAUUGGGACACGGUAAAGACUCCGACGGAAGGCAGCGGUGGGGAAUAUUGCACAAUGUGCGCAAUCCUGAUGCAGCCAUGCCGGGUGUAUGAAGAAGGCCUUCGGGUUGUAAAGUACUUUCAGCGGGGAGGCGUUACCCGCAGAAGAAGCACCGGCUAACGCCGUGCCAGCAGCCGCGGUAAUUC
This 406-nucleotide ribosomal RNA is filed under the name uncultured bacterium. RNAcentral's name for it is "partial 16S ribosomal RNA". It matches the Rfam family "Bacterial small subunit ribosomal RNA", at positions 30 to 526 of the family's 1533-position model. The record is from RNAcentral.